ACGAGCGAAUGUUCUCACGCGAUCUUAGAUUUGAAUGAUCGGUGGGAUUUUCGUUCGUUC
RNAcentral lists this microRNA precursor (60 nucleotides) under Eisenia fetida (common brandling worm). RNAcentral's name for it is "Efe-Mir-278-P2_pre stem-loop". Lineage: Eukaryota; Metazoa; Annelida; Clitellata; Crassiclitellata; Lumbricidae. The record is from RNAcentral.